Anguilla rostrata (American eel) is the source of this 875-nucleotide long non-coding RNA. RefSeq lists it as uncharacterized. NCBI's taxonomy places the organism in Eukaryota, Metazoa, Chordata, Actinopteri, Anguilliformes, Anguillidae. The record is from RefSeq and is a predicted model, not a curated record. The transcript has 3 exons.
AAAAUUAUGGCCCAGUUUAACUUACCUGACACCCAGAAUGCUAUGCUUUCUGAGAAGAGAAUACUUAUGAUUUGCGUUUAGAUAGUGUAUAGCUUGACUUAAAAAAAUGUUUUUAUACCAGUUUUACCAAGGAUUCAGACCCCUGAUGCCUGAUGACAUCACCGAUGGCCACUCAUUGAUCAGGCACGAUUCAGACCACAUGAUUUUGCGAUGAAGAAACACAGGACCAAGUUACACGGCGAUGGCAGCAGAGCUACACGCGUGGAUGAGGCGGAAGCCUUCACAGCUCGAGCUCGGAUUCUGCCGCAGCCGACAGCAGCCUUUCAAGUCUCUUCAGACGCCAGGCUUACGCGGAGAGAAACAAGACCCGCGUCUUCCUUUGAAGGAAAGGCCCAUUGUGAAGACGGGCUUGACGGCGACGCAGACAGCGCUACGUUCUCCGCUAGCUGUUCUCCGCUAGCUGUUCUCUCACAUCACCAUUUCAGAGCCACGGUGGUCUUAAAACGGAGGCGUGGGACAAUAACGUACUGGGGGAAACGAGUUGGCCCUCCCUCGUUUAAUUGGACGCGUUGACGGGCUGCUGGUUCUCGAGGCUGAAAGGAGACGUGGCAGGGCGGGCUGGAUGAGUGUGCUCUGGGAGCAAAUGCUGCAGGCCUGCAGGGGCAACAGAGCUCAAUCCCCCUAGGUUGACACCUGACCCCUAAUUGCUCCCAACGACCUGAUUGGUACAGUACCUUGCAUGGCAGCCUUUCACCGUUGGUGUGUGUGAAUGGGUGAAUGAGAGGCAUCAAUUGUAAAGCGCUUUGGAUAAAAGCGCUAUAUAAAUGCUGUCCAUUUACCUGCUCUUCUUCUCUGUGUUUACCUGGAUGUCUUUU